GCGGGCAUAGCUUAAUGGUAAAGCGCUAGCCUUCCAAGCUAGUUAUGCGGGUUCGAUUCCCGCUGCCCGCUCUA
RNAcentral lists this transfer RNA (74 nucleotides) under Anaerolineae bacterium. RNAcentral's name for it is "tRNA-Gly". It matches the Rfam family "tRNA". From Rfam's summary of the family: Transfer RNA (tRNA) molecules are approximately 80 nucleotides in length. Their secondary structure includes four short double-helical elements and three loops (D, anti-codon, and T loops). Lineage: Bacteria; Bacillati; Chloroflexota; Anaerolineae. The record is from RNAcentral.